ACAUGCAAGUCGAACGGCUCUUCGGAGCAGUGGCGGACGGGUGAGUAACGCGUGGGAACGUGCCCUUUGGCUCGGAACAACACAGGGAAACUUGUGCUAAUACCGAAUGAGCCCUUCGGGGGAAAGAUUUAUCGCCAUUGGAGCGGCCCGCGUUGGAUUAGGUAGUUGGUGGGGUAAAGGCCCACCAAGCCGACGAUCCAUAGCCGGUCUGAGAGGAUGAUCAGCCACACUGGGACUGAGACACGGCCCAGACUCCUACGGGAGGCAGCAGUGGGGAAUCUUGCGCAAUGGGCGAAAGCCUGACGCAGCCAUGCCGCGUGAAUGAUGAAGGUCUUAGGAUUGUAAAAUUCUUUCACCGGGGAAGAUAAUGACGGUACCCGGAGAAGAAGCCCCGGCUAACUUCGUGCCAGCAGCCGCGGUAAUACGAAGGGGGCUGGCGUUGCUCGGAAUUACUGGGCGUAAAGGGCGCGUAGGCGGACAGUUUAGUCAGAGGUAAAAGCCCAGGGCUCAACCUUGGAACUGCCUUUGAUACUGGCUGUCUUGAGUUCGGGAGAGGUGAGUGGAAUGCCGAGUGUAGAGGUGAAAUUCGUAGAUAUUCGGCGGAACACCAGUGGCGAAGGCGACUCACUGGCCCGA
This 636-nucleotide ribosomal RNA is filed under the name uncultured Alphaproteobacteria bacterium. RNAcentral's name for it is "bacterial SSU rRNA". It matches the Rfam family "Bacterial small subunit ribosomal RNA", at positions 53 to 737 of the family's 1533-position model. The record is from RNAcentral. Lineage: Bacteria; Pseudomonadati; Pseudomonadota; Alphaproteobacteria.